This 496-nucleotide ribosomal RNA is filed under the name uncultured bacterium. RNAcentral describes it as "partial 16S ribosomal RNA". It matches the Rfam family "Bacterial small subunit ribosomal RNA", at positions 29 to 507 of the family's 1533-position model. The record is from RNAcentral.
AUGAACGCUGGCGGCGUGCCUCAUACAUGCAAGUCGAGCGAACAGACGAGGAGCUUGCUCCUCUGACGUUAGCGGCGGACGGGUGAGUAACACGUGGAUAACCUACCUAUAAGACUGGGAUAACUUCGGGAAACCGGAGCUAAUACCGGAUAAUAUAUUGAACCGCAUGGUUCAAUAGUGAAAGACGGUUUUGCUGUCACUUAUAGAUGGAUCCGCGCCGCAUUAGCUAGUUGGUAAGGUAACGGCUUACCAAGGCAAUGAUGCGUAGCCGACCUGAGAGGGGGAUCGCCCACACUGGAACGGAGACACGGCCCAGCCUCCUCGGGGAGGCCGAAGGGGGGAAUCUUCCACAAGGGGCGAAAGCCUGAGGGAGCACCGCCGCGUGAGUGAUGAGGGUCUUGGGAUCUAAAAACUCUUUUAUGGGGGAAAAAAAAAUGUGAAAGAAAAUAUGCCCGUCUUGAGGGUACCAAAUCAGAAAGCCACGGCUAACUACGUG